Long non-coding RNA from Coffea arabica (coffee), 749 nucleotides. RefSeq lists it as uncharacterized. Lineage: Eukaryota; Viridiplantae; Streptophyta; Magnoliopsida; Gentianales; Rubiaceae. The record is from RefSeq and is a predicted model, not a curated record.
CACUCAACCAAUUCUAACCACAAACACCUUCUCAAAACAGCGGCACCAUCCCUCUUCCUCUCCAUUUCAUAUCCCAAACCACACACCACUAUAUCAUUCACACUACACCACAAUAUCACAACUUCAAUUUCCUUUCUGCCGUGAGAGUGAGAGAGCAGCUACAUAGGAAUUAACGACGGGAGAGAGAGUGAGCCGAGCUUCCUGUUUCUUUUCUUUUCUGUCCGUAAAACCAGAGAGGGAAGAGAGGGACUUGUGAUCCGGUCUGUCUUCCAUCUGUGAGCUGGUGCAGAGCUUGAGACCAGAGUUCCUUCAUCCAGCCGCAAGCCAGAGCAAGGGAGAGAGGAAGAGAGAGCUAGCGGUCUGCAUUUUUUUCUGGACAGCCGAGAGAGAGAAUUGUUGCAGCUGCUAGCUGUGUGUUUUAGGCUUCAGGCUAAGGAUUUAACGAGGACUUGGACUACGAUUCCCGGCUUGACCUUUGAACUUCACUCUUGGUUCCGGAAAUCGAGAGACUUGAAGUUUAUCUUAUCGUUUUGUAAAUUUUAUUUCGAAUCGUACUUGUAUCUUCGUUUUGGGUUGCCACUUGAAGCUGGAAAAGUGCAAACCCUAAGAUUUGGCUUGUAUGAAUUUUAUCUGAGCUUUAUGAACUUACUGUGUGGUUUGUAUUGUAUAUUUGAGAUUAUGUGGUGAUCUGGUCAGAGAUGUAUUUAGGAGUGAACGGGUGGAUGUUCUAUGGUAAGGUUAUUUCUGAA